GGUCAAUUGGCCGAGCGGUGAAGGCGCCUGAUUAAGGCACUGUUCCGAAACGGUGUGGGUUCGAAUUCCACAUUGGCCA
RNAcentral lists this transfer RNA (79 nucleotides) under Hyaloperonospora arabidopsidis Emoy2. It matches the Rfam family "tRNA". Rfam says of the family: Transfer RNA (tRNA) molecules are approximately 80 nucleotides in length. Their secondary structure includes four short double-helical elements and three loops (D, anti-codon, and T loops). Lineage: Eukaryota; Oomycota; Peronosporomycetes; Peronosporales; Peronosporaceae. The record is from Rfam by way of RNAcentral.